This 1488-nucleotide long non-coding RNA is filed under the name Cricetulus griseus (Chinese hamster). RNAcentral describes it as "lncRNA (ENSCGRG00015002952.2)". Lineage: Eukaryota; Metazoa; Chordata; Mammalia; Rodentia; Cricetidae. The record is from RNAcentral.
UUUUCAUACUGUAUUUACAGUCAAUGUCUUGCUUUUCUCUCAACAUCGUAGAAGCAUCUUGUGGUGUUGCUAUUAGUCAUUCCCCUUUUAAAGGCUGCAUAGUGUUACAAGUGAGGGAUGGGCGGUGAUGGGCGCCAUUCUGAACCUCAGAGGAAGGAAGGGAGGGGAGAUGGAGGUGGUAUAGAAAGCUAUCUUUGGGGCUCAGAGGUCGGGAGCUCUACCCCCUACAGUGGGAUCUGGGGAAAGUGCCCCUUGCUCUGAGGAGUUGAGGCAGAGUGAUUUUCCCAGGUGUGUGAGGCUUAAAGGACUAAUUUAAACGGAACAGAAUAGGCACUGUUUGUUUGGGCCUGGACCAAGAGAGGUGCUGAGGAGAGGGAGAAAUCCCAGAAUGGGGGGUGGGGGGAGUGUCUCUGGUCUGGAACAAAUGGGCAGGCCCCAGGAGGGACAGUGCAGAUCGGGGCAGACACAGUGUCCCAGGAGGCAGGGCCAGUGAUCACGAGGCAUGUGGAGUCAGCCUCUUGGUAUGAGGCUAAGGAAGAGUUUCGGAGUGGAAGAAAAGGAAGUAGAGGAGGGAAGAGUUUGUAAUCAACUCCUGGGAGGAUGAGGACUCAGAGGAGAAGACUUGAUCAAGAUACACAUGGGCAGGAUGGUACAGGGACACAGCUACCUGAGUGUUCACCAGCGUCGCUGGGGAGUGGACUUUUGGUGUCAAGAAGGGCAAGGGGACUCACAUACUGGGGCAGGUCCCCACUGACAAGGUGGGUCUGUAGAAGCACAUUGGCCUUUUGUAGUUUUCCUGAAUGUAAACUCAGCUCUCUGAACCUUGACCUUCCAUAUACAGGGUGGGGGGGUACCUUCUACCCAUAAGACUGCUGUGGAAUUAAACCAAACGUAUUAGAAAUACCCAAGGGGCUGCCAGGCACAUUGUCCAUCCUGUACAUGCUAACUUUGGUACUCACCCACCUCAUCCUUCGCAAAAGAUUGACAGCUGUUCUGAACAAUCUAUUAGAUGUUCCUCUCAGUCCUGGGACUGUUGGAGAAUGUGACCAUCUGCACCCACCUGAGGAGAGGGUGAGAGUGGGUCAGGGGCGUCAGUUGACUGGAUUCCCAAAAGUAGGAAACAGAUGAAGUAGAGUGCCUGCUGGGGUUAUUUCCCCAGACUCAUUGUCAGCUCCCCGACUAUGGGAACAUGUCAGAGUUGUAUUUGGGCAGUGUUUCACUUAAGCUUAAGAACAAAAGUACUAGGGCUGGAGAGAUGGCUCAGGGGUUAAGAGCACUGCCUGUUCUUCCAGAGGUCCUGAGUUCAGUUCCCAGCCACCACAUGGUGGCUCACAACCAUCUGUAAUGAGAUCUGUUGCCCUCUUCUGGACUGCAGGGAUACAUGCAGACAGAACACUGUAUACACAAUAAAUAAAUAAAUAAAUAAAUAAAUAAAUAAAUAAACCUAUCAAAAAAAAAAAAAAAAAAAAAAGAACAAAAGUACUGGGC